UAUCCGUACACUAUAAAACCACUGUCGC
Molecule: small RNA, 28 nt
Filed under: Bombyx mori (domestic silkworm)
Lineage: Eukaryota; Metazoa; Arthropoda; Insecta; Lepidoptera; Bombycidae
Description: ovarian small RNA-23606
Source: RNAcentral